AACGGGUGAGUAACACGUAGACAACCCUGGCCCCCUGGCCCGGGACAACCUCUGGAAACGGAGGCUGAUACCGGACGGGCAGGAGAGGGGCAUCCCUCUCCUGUGAAAGGCCCUGCAAGGGGCCGCGAGGGGAUGGGUCUGCGGUGCAUUAGCUAGUUGGCGGGGCAGCGGCCCACCAAGGCGACGAUGCAUAGCCGGCCUGAGAGGGCGGACGGCCACAUUGGGACUGAGACACGGCCCAGACUCCUACGGGAGGCAGCAUG
Molecule: ribosomal RNA, 263 nt
Filed under: uncultured bacterium
Lineage: Bacteria
Description: partial 16S ribosomal RNA
Rfam family: Bacterial small subunit ribosomal RNA
Source: RNAcentral